GUAGUUGACGUCUCGCUCGACGAGACGCUGGCGCGUGCUUAACACAUGCAAGUCGACGAAUGAAGCCUAGCUUGCUAGGUGGAGUUAGUGGCGAACGGGUGAGUAAUACGUGAGUAACCUACCUUUAACUCUGGGAUAAGCCUGGGAAACUGGGUCUAAUACCGGAUACGACCAAUCUCCGCAUGGGGUGUUGGUGGAAAGCGUUAUGUAGUGGUUAUAGAUGGGCUCACGGCCUAUCAGCUUGUUGGUGAGGUAACGGCUCACCAAGGCGACGACGGGUAGCCGGCCUGAGAGGGUGACCGGCCACACUGGGACUGAGACACGGCCCAGACUCCUACGGGAGGCAGCAGUGGGGAAUAGUGCACAAUGGGCGCAAGCCUGAUGCAGCGACGCCGCGUGAGGGAUGGCGGCCUUCGGGUUGUAAACCUCUGUUAGCAGGGAAGAAGAGAGAUUGACGGUACCUGCAGAGAAAGCGCCGGCUAACUACGUG
RNAcentral lists this ribosomal RNA (490 nucleotides) under uncultured Rothia sp. RNAcentral's name for it is "bacterial SSU rRNA". It matches the Rfam family "Bacterial small subunit ribosomal RNA", at positions 1 to 507 of the family's 1533-position model. The record is from RNAcentral. Lineage: Bacteria; Bacillati; Actinomycetota; Actinomycetes; Micrococcales; Micrococcaceae.